This 515-nucleotide ribosomal RNA is filed under the name uncultured bacterium. RNAcentral's name for it is "partial 16S ribosomal RNA". It matches the Rfam family "Bacterial small subunit ribosomal RNA", at positions 28 to 523 of the family's 1533-position model. The record is from RNAcentral.
GAUGAACGCUGGCGGCGUGCCUAAUACAUGCAAGUCGAGCGAAUGGAUUAAGAGCUUGCUCUUAUGAAGUUAGCGGCGGACGGGUGAGUAACACGUGGGUAACCUGCCCAUAAGACUGGGAUAACUCCGGGAAACCGGGGCUAAUACCGGAUAACAUUUUGAACCGCAUGGUUCGAAAUUGAAAGGCGGCUUCGGCUGUCACUUAUGGCUGGACCCGCGUCGCAUUAGCUAGUUGGUGAGGUAACGGCUCACCAAGGCAACGAUGCGUAGCCGACCUGAGAAGGUGAUCGGCCACACUGGGACUGAGACACGGCCCAGACUCCUACGGGAGGCAGCAGUAGGGAAUCUUCCGCAAUGGACGAAAGUCUGACGGAGCAACGCCGCGUGAGUGAUGAAGGCUUUCGGGUCGUAAAACUCUGUUGUUAGGGAAGAACAAGUGCUAGUUGAAUAAGCUGGCACCUUGACGGUACCUAACCAGAAAGCCACGGCUAACUACGUGCCAGCAGCCGCCGUAA